GCAUUGGUGAUUCCGUGGUAGAAUUCUUGCUUUCUGUGUGUGAGAUCUGGGUUCAAUUCCUGGCCAAUGCA
This 71-nucleotide transfer RNA is filed under the name Loxodonta africana (African savanna elephant). It matches the Rfam family "tRNA". From Rfam's summary of the family: Transfer RNA (tRNA) molecules are approximately 80 nucleotides in length. Their secondary structure includes four short double-helical elements and three loops (D, anti-codon, and T loops). Lineage: Eukaryota; Metazoa; Chordata; Mammalia; Proboscidea; Elephantidae. The record is from Rfam by way of RNAcentral.